AAGGGAGAGGAUUACGUGGGAAUCUACCCUCAGACCUGGGAUAGCGGCGGGAAACUGCCGGUAAUACCAGAUAAUGUCUGCGGACCAAAGGUGUGAUUCCGUCUGGGGAUGAGCCCACGUCCUAUUAGCUAGUUGGCAGGGUAAUGGCCUACCAAGGCAAUGAUGGGUAGCGGGUGUGAGAGCAUGACCCGCCUCACUGGGACUGAGAACUGCCCAGACACCUACGGGUGGCUGCAGUCGAGAAUCUUCGGCAAUGAGCGCAAGCUUGACCGAGCGACGCCGCGUGCGGGAUGAAGGCCUUCGGGUUGUAAACCGCUGUCGUAGGGGAGCAAGAAAUGAGGGUUCUCCCUCAAAUUUGAGCGAUCCUAGGAGGAAGGACGGGCUAAGUUCGUGCCAGCAGCCGCGGUAAGACGAACCGUCCAAACGUUAUUCGGUAUCACUGGGCUUAAAGAGUUCGUAGGCGGCUCCGUAGGUGAGGUGUGAAAUCCCUCGGCUUAACCGAGGAAUUGCGCUUCAAACCGUGGAGCUAGAGGUAGACAGGGGUAAGCGGAACAGAUGGUGGAGCGGUGAAAUGCGUUGA
This 580-nucleotide ribosomal RNA is filed under the name uncultured bacterium. Its description in RNAcentral is "bacterial SSU rRNA". It matches the Rfam family "Bacterial small subunit ribosomal RNA", at positions 102 to 694 of the family's 1533-position model. The record is from RNAcentral.